GCCUGGUAAGCUAAUCUGGUGAAAGCGCCUGCCUGAAGAGCAGGAGAGGCUGGUUCGAAACCAGCAUCAGGCA
Molecule: transfer RNA, 73 nt
Filed under: Oscillospiraceae bacterium
Lineage: Bacteria; Bacillati; Bacillota; Clostridia; Eubacteriales; Oscillospiraceae
Description: tRNA-Phe
Rfam family: tRNA
About the family: Transfer RNA (tRNA) molecules are approximately 80 nucleotides in length.
Source: RNAcentral